GAUGAGUCCGCGUACGAUUAGCUAGUUGGUGAGGUAAUGGCUCACCAAGGCGACGAUCGUUAGCUGGUCUGAGAGGACGAUCAGCCACACUGGGACUGAGACACGGCCCAGACUCCUACGGGAGGCAGCAGUGGGGAAUAUUGGACAAUGGGGGCAACCCUGAUCCAGCCAUGCCGCGUGAGUGAUGAAGGCCUUCGGGUUGUAAAGCUCUUUCACCGGUGAAGAUAAUGACGGUAACCGGAGAAGAAGCCCCGGCUAACUUCGUGCCAGCAGCCGCGGUAAUACGAAGGGGGCUAGCGUUGUUCGGAUUUACUGGGCGUAAAGCGCACGUAGGCGGACUUUUAAGUCAGGGGUGAAAUCCCGGGGCUCAACCCCGGAACUGCCUUUGAUACUGGAAGUCUUGAGUAUGGUAGAGGUGAGUGGAAUUCCGAGUGUAGAGGUGAAAUUCGUAGAUAUUCGGAGGAACACCAGUGGCGAAGGCGGCUCACUGGACCAUUACUGACGCUGAGGUGCGAAAGCGUGGGAAGCAAACAGGAUUAGAUAC
This 544-nucleotide ribosomal RNA is filed under the name uncultured Ochrobactrum sp. Its description in RNAcentral is "bacterial SSU rRNA". It matches the Rfam family "Bacterial small subunit ribosomal RNA", at positions 224 to 785 of the family's 1533-position model. The record is from RNAcentral. Lineage: Bacteria; Pseudomonadati; Pseudomonadota; Alphaproteobacteria; Hyphomicrobiales; Brucellaceae.